AACUAGAUACUUAUGAUAUAAAAUAAGAUACGAAAAAAAUUUCCUACGUCAUACAAUUUGAAUAUUGGAAACCCUAGUGGCAAAUAUAAAUCUAUUCUAUAGAUAUUUGAAUGUACACAUUUGUUGGUACACACUUCUUGGAUGAAUCUUUUGAUAAUUAAUUUGAAAAAAUAUCUAAAACUAUUGAAUUUGUGAAUUGUGAAUAUCAUAAAUUUUUUUUGUUACUUCUUCCAAAGACAGGUCUGUUUUAGCAAUGGUUAUAAUGUUGUAAGGUGAAAUACAAUUUACGCAAAUUACAAUUUACAAAUGUGAUUAUUACGAUUUCAGUAUUUUAUUUAAAUAACAACUUUUAACUUUUAAGUAGGUACAUUAUAAUAUUUAUG
Molecule: non-coding RNA, 383 nt
Organism: Cinara cedri
Lineage: Eukaryota; Metazoa; Arthropoda; Insecta; Hemiptera; Aphididae
Source: the annotation of a GenBank genome assembly